Molecule: long non-coding RNA, 1094 nt
Organism: Diospyros lotus (date-plum)
Lineage: Eukaryota; Viridiplantae; Streptophyta; Magnoliopsida; Ericales; Ebenaceae
Exons: 4
Source: RefSeq, a predicted model, not a curated record
GGUUUUUUAGCGGGAAUUUAAGAAUUGCCGCUAAUCGGUUCUCUCAAUUGUCGGGGAAAAGCAAGUUCAUUUUGCCAGCGACAUUUUUACCUUUUUCCUCUACUUUUCGCUUCAUCUCCUUUCCCUCUUUUCUUGAAAUCCAAUUGGAGAGAAGUGAUCGAUCAAGUUCAUUAGCAAUGGCCUCCCUUACGCUCGACACCAUCAAUCCCAUGAUAUGCAGGCAUCUUCUGCACUAUUCUCUUAAACAAAUCAAUGUUCAAAUCCUGGCUGGAAGAACAUAAAGGGUUGCGAUUGUUGCAGAAUUUUGGUUGAGUCCACUUGGAUGUUUGAUAAGUGUCUUUUAUACACUUAUUUUAGUCUAUAAACUUAGCAUUUAUACAUUCAAUGAACAUGAUUUCUACUUGAUUUGGUUCUAUAUAUGGUCAUGUAGAUGUGAAGCAUGUGUUGAAGACAUUUGGAGCAAAAAAGUGAUGAUGUUGUCGCAUUUUUGGAGCUAAAUUGGGCAUUAAAGGCAAGGUCAAAGGUCCACUUAGGGUUGAGGUUGAGGAGGUCAUAAAGCAUCGGAAGGAGGAUGUCAUUGGUGAAGUGUUGGAAAGCAAGGAGAAACGGCUCACGGUGCUGUCACACAAAGCAUUGCGUGGUAUGGUCGUGGAUUAGCCAGGAAGACUUAAUUCUCUAUUGGGGUUGGAAGUGGACCAACACUGCACCUAGCAGCUAAAUUGCCAAGGUUGAGAGGUGUUGUUCUGCAUAGCGCCAUUCUUUCUGGCCUUCAUGUGGUCUUCUGUUUGAAGUUCAAUUUUGCUUUGACAUUUAUAGGGAGCUUGGCUUAAAAAGAUGUUUAGGAAUACUCCCACCUUCUGGUAUGUGCCCUGUGAGUGAUGGGAAAUUAAUCACUCCCUCUGGGUGGUGGGCGAUCACCCCAAUUUAUAUGUUCAAUUUGUAAUUCAUCCUCCAUCUACUUUAUUGUCUGAUCUUUGAAUUGCUUUCAAAGGCGUAUUAGGAUAGCCUUGAUAAGCUAUACAUGUGAUUCUCUCAUUUGUAACUCAUCGCUUUUCUUCAUUGCUUUUGGCUGUUAUCAAGUUUUUUUCUCCUGU